RNAcentral lists this ribosomal RNA (253 nucleotides) under uncultured bacterium. RNAcentral describes it as "partial 16S ribosomal RNA". It matches the Rfam family "Bacterial small subunit ribosomal RNA", at positions 524 to 776 of the family's 1533-position model. The record is from RNAcentral.
UACGGAGGAUGCGAGCGUUAUCCGGAUUCAUUGGGUUUAAAGGGUGCGUAGGCUGAAGAUUAAGUCAGGGGUGAAAGUUUGCGGCUCAACCGUAAAAUUGCCUUUGAUACUGAUUUUCUUGAGUACAUUUGAGGUGGGCGGAAUGUGAUGUGUAGCGGUGAAAUGCAUAGAUAUAUCACAGAACACCGAUUGCGAAGGCAGCUCACUAAACUGUAACUGACGCUGAUGCACGAAAGCGUGGGUAUCGAACAGG